GUGAACGCUGGCGGUAGGCCUAACACAUGCAAGUCGAACGGCAGCACAGUAAGAGCUUGCUCUUACGGGUGGCGAGUGGCGGACGGGUGAGGAAUACAUCGGAAUCUACUUUUUCGUGGGGGAUAACGUAGGGAAACUUACGCUAAUACCGCAUACGACCUACGGGUGAAAGCAGGGGAUCUUCGGACCUUGCGCGAUUGAACGAGCCGAUGUCGGAUUAGCUAGUUGGCGGGGUAAAGGCCCACCAAGGCGACGAUCCGUAGCUGGUCUGAGAGGAUGAUCAGCCACACUGGAACUGAGACACGGUCCAGACUCCUACGGGAGGCAGCAGUGGGGAAUAUUGGACAAAGGGCGCAAGCCUGAUCCAGCCAUACCGCGUGGGUGAAGAAGGCCUUCGGGUUGUAAAGCCCUUUUGUUGGGAAAGAAAAGCAGCAGGUUAAUACCCCGCUGUUCUGACGGUACCCAAAGAAUAAGCACCGGCUAACUUCGUG
Molecule: ribosomal RNA, 491 nt
Filed under: uncultured bacterium
Lineage: Bacteria
Description: partial 16S ribosomal RNA
Rfam family: Bacterial small subunit ribosomal RNA
Source: RNAcentral